CCCUUAGAUGUUCUGGGCUGCACGCGCGCUACACUGAAGCGUUCAACGAGUAUUCACCUUGCCCGGGAGGGUUGGGUAAUCUUUUGAAAACGCUUCGUGAUGGGGAUAGAUUAUUGCAAUUAUUAAUCUUCAACGAGGAAUUCCUAGUAAGCGCGAGUCAUCAGCUCGUGCUGAUUACGUCCCUGCCCUUUGUACACACCGCCCGUCGCUCCUACCGAUUGAGUGAUUCGGUGAAUAACUCGGACCGAUGCAUUUUCCAGCUUCUGGAAGUUGCAUUGGAAAGUUUAGUGAACCUUAUCACUUAGAGGAAGGAGAAGUCGUAACA
This 325-nucleotide ribosomal RNA is filed under the name uncultured eukaryote. RNAcentral describes it as "partial 18S ribosomal RNA". It matches the Rfam family "Eukaryotic small subunit ribosomal RNA", at positions 1470 to 1796 of the family's 1831-position model. The record is from RNAcentral.